RNAcentral lists this long non-coding RNA (1761 nucleotides) under Malus domestica (apple). RNAcentral's name for it is "long non-coding RNA (MDOM_LNC008824)". Lineage: Eukaryota; Viridiplantae; Streptophyta; Magnoliopsida; Rosales; Rosaceae. The record is from RNAcentral.
AAAAAAAUGAAAAAAAAAAGGGCAAUGGCCUCCCCUUCUUUGAGCCUAACAACUUUCAUAACAAAUAUAUAUGAAAGAUGAGUUUUGGGCUACCACUUAGAAAGGAAAAUGGUAAAGUUUUGUUACUUUGGAAACUUGGCUACUAGCAAGACACCUCCUUCAUCAACUCCCUUAACUGGAGACUUGGGAGACUCCUAUCAUAUGUGAUGCGAAAAUUAUCUUAACACACAAAUUUAACUCUCUUUUGACAAUUGUAGUACAAGUAUAAGUAGGGAUCGUUUUGGACCGGGGAUUAGGAGGGCUUGCUAAUAACCUCUAAACUGACUCAAAAACAUAAAACUAAAUUUAAAAACACUUAACAAGACUCACAAGACUCAAAGCAAACUUAAAAUACUCAAAACAGCUUAAAACAACCAAAUAAACUUAAACUAGACACUAGGAAUGACUUUGGACGAAAAUUGACUUUUACUUGAAUCAAAACACUUAAGAACACAACUAAAACAUAUUUGAAACACUUUGAAACAAGAAACUAAAAGGGGGGUUUUGAUUUGGAUGAAGUUGAAACAAACAAACAAACAACAACAACAACAACAACAACAAAGCCUUUUCCCACUAAGUGGGGUCGGCUAUAUGAAUCCUAGAACGCCAUUGCGCAAGUUGAAACAAACAAACAAGUAUGAAAAAUUAGACAGAUUGUAAAACAAAUGUGAGAAAUAAGAUGAUGGAUGGGAUAGCUAGAGGCUUUUUCUCCACACAUGACAUGUAUGCAAAUAACUCGAUUUCCAGUUACUACUUCAUUGAAUUAUGAACAAUGCUCCAAAUUAACCGUGACAUCACUAGUUAACUCUCAGAUUUUCCUUAUUUUAUUGGAUUGGAUGACAUCAUUCGACAACCCAAAACAUUCUUCCAAAGUUCCCUACAUGACAUCAUAAUAGAGAUACAAUCAAAGAUCAUUACGUUUAAUGAAAAUCAUAAGUAUUGACAAAGCACUUGCAACUAUAACAUCAUGUUACUCAUGCUAGAAUUAAACGUAACACGAUCGUUUAUAAGCGACUUCCACUACUUAUGAAUAUAAGUUUGUAACGAUUAUGUGAAACCUUCUUAUAUUCUAGCAUCGGAUUUAUGCAUAUCAAUUAAGUGUCGACUCUUAAUCAACAUAUACAAAUAAGUUAUCAAUCAAAUAGUUAAGCCAAUUGCACUUACGAUUCAAGAGUUCAUAGCUGGAAUUUAUCAAAUCAUAUUACACACAUAAUCAUAGCUUUGAAAUCACCCCUAGCCAAGAGGGGUUUAGCCACUCAUAUUCACAACAAAACAAAAGAAAAUGAAUUUAAACAUUGGAAACAAAAGAAAGAAAACACCUAAACGCUCCAACGAUCCAAGUUGGACAGCAAGCACGUCCAAGCACUUUCCUUCCCUUUGCUACGGCACAAGGUGUUGGUGAGUGUUUGAAGGUUUUUUUGUAUGGAGGAAUGGAUGUGAAGAAGAAUGGAUGUGUUUGGAUAAAGGUUAUGUUGAAAUGGGAGUGAAUGAUCUAACAAAGUAUGAACUAAAUUUAUGUUACACACACUUCCUUUUAUAGAGGAAGUGCAUGGCAAUGGAGGGGAACAUGGAGUGGUGUAGCAAUUGAGUGCAAUGAUUCAAUGUAAUGAUGCAAGAAUCUGAAAUGAUAGAGGGAACAAGGAAUGGUGUAGCAAUUGAGUGCAAUGAGUGGUGUUUGAAAUGAUUUAAGGGUGAAAGUUAAGUGAUGAUGCAAACCAUGGG